AGCUUCCCUCUGUGAAGGCAGAGUUGUUGUUGUUGUUCUAAAUGAGUCUUUGUAUCCCCAGAACCCAGCACAGUUCCGGCUAUGCCCCAAGAAGCUCGGAGCAAUCUUUUGGAGGGACUGGAUUCAUUCAGAAGCAAAGUGGCCAAAGUUGGUUUCAGCUCAGGCAUAAUCACCCUAACCAGCUGCGUAACCGGACACGGCAUGUGAAAUGUGACAUUUGGUUCUGGUUUUCAUCAUGGGAAACGGCUGGCUUUCUCGGGGCGGAUCAACAGGGUGAACGUUUACAAGGAGCUGGUGAAUUGGAUUUCAUGGACGGUUCAAGCAUGUCAUUACCCUACAAAACCCCAAAUCCACAUUGAUCACAAUAGCCACUGAUAAGCCAAAUGGAGACGGACCACAAGACUCUUCCCGGUUCCAUCUCGACUCUCUUUUCGAAACUUUUAUUAUCCAACACAGUCUUUGAAUGGACAAUGGUCUCACGGCGAAUGGACUGUUUGGGAACCAUUUCUGGCCAACCGGCAGCUUUUGUUCAAAGACUGAGAGGUCUAUGCAGUUACCUCCCCAAAAGACCACCCAGAGAUCCUGUCUCUUUCUUGUCAAUGAGGUAGCCAAAGAGCCCUAGAAUAUUGGGGAAGUUGAUGGUUCACUAAACAGAGUUCUAGGCCUGGAAUCAAGAAACUUGAGUUCCAAUUCUGCCUUACUUGCCCAGGGACACAUUACUGGCUAUGACCUUAGUCUCAGCUUUGCAUGCUUUCUUGUCACUUAGAUUGGAUCUUGCAGUUAGGAAGUGACAAGUCACCAGAUUUUCAAGGACAGCCGACGAAUAUUUCUUCUUCUGGGUUUUCUCUUCUGAUAAGGCUCUUCUCUUAUAAUCCCAGUGACGGCACUCCUUCUGGGUCUCUCUGGUUGGACAGAUUCAGCCUCGGUCUUAUGGACACCAGGAGUCACCAGGGACCAAAGGGUCUACACCAAUACUUGAUACACAGCAGAGACUUGAUGAUUGGACCAGUGUUUGUUGGAAUGGAUUGCACUGAAUGGUUGUGCUGCCUCAUCUUCCAGACUGCUGUGAGGAUUAUCUACCUAGAGACGGGUGGACAAAAGAACUCAAGCUUGAAUCAUACAGGACCACUCAUCAAUGAUUAA
RNAcentral lists this long non-coding RNA (1143 nucleotides) under Monodelphis domestica (gray short-tailed opossum). Its description in RNAcentral is "lncRNA (ENSMODG00000044566.1)". Lineage: Eukaryota; Metazoa; Chordata; Mammalia; Didelphimorphia; Didelphidae. The record is from RNAcentral.